Long non-coding RNA from Lineus longissimus, 814 nucleotides. RefSeq lists it as uncharacterized. The transcript has 2 exons. NCBI's taxonomy places the organism in Eukaryota, Metazoa, Nemertea, Pilidiophora, Heteronemertea, Lineidae. The record is from RefSeq and is a predicted model, not a curated record.
UCAGUGCUACAACUAUUACAAACAAGAAAAACCACGGGGGAACAAAACUGCCGUAUACGAACGCCGCUUUUCACCAGACAUGACGUAUGGACAUCACCACGGGUACUUCUCAUGGAGUCAGCUCAAGAACCUAACUCGAGACAACGGCACUGACGACAAUCGAAAUGAAAAGUUUAACCAACCGACCUUCUACGGGAAAUUAUGUGACGGUGAUGACAAGACAUCUUGCAUUAUCCGCAAGAUGAACUCCACAGACUUAGGUUUCCGAUAUCUUGGGGAAUUUAACUCGAACGCUCAGAGUCGACGCCAAAUGAAUAUGACAACGAGGGCCUGUGUGAAGAAAUGCAAGGAUGCCUCAUGGUGUGUUGGAGUGCAGAUACGGAAGUCGGGUAACCAGUAUAUGCAGGAAACGUAUCUGAGACGGAAACGGGGUCCUGGUGGCGCAAAUAAGGGUAUUUACUGUGCAUUCUACCACUUUGUGGACCUGUACAAGAAGACCUGCGCCGUGGUGCCCAAGAAGCGCUUCAGAAUGGAUCACGCAACGGAAAAUGAUACUAUGCUAAGGCAAGUUGCGUCCGAGGUUAGUCGAUAUGCCAAAACAAACUGAAGUACAUAACUGUUUUCUCAGUAGGCAAAGGUUUCUCAAGGGAUUUGUCUUUGAUUUGACCUCAUCAAACUCAAAUAUAAGUUUUAACUUUCAAAUUGGACCAAAGCCAAACAGGCGUAUAUUGCAGGGACUUACACCUUCUUUUAAAAUACAAUAUUUGUAAGACAUAAAUACGAUGAUGUUAUUAAAUUCCACUCACCAACUAAA